GACGAACGCUGGCGGCGUGCUUAACACAUGCAAGUCGAACGGUAAGGCCCUUCGGGGUACACGAGUGGCGAACGGGUGAGUAACACGUGGGUGAUCUGCCCUGCACUUCGGGAUAAGCCUGGGAAACUGGGUCUAAUACCGGAUAGGACCACUGCCUGCAUGGGUGGUGGUGGAAAGCUUUUGCGGUGUGGGAUGGGCCCGCGGCCUAUCAGCUUGUUGGUGGGGUGAGGGCCUACGAAGGCGACGACGGGUAGCCGGCCUGAGAGGGGGACCGGCCACACUGGGACGGGGAUACGGCCCAGACUCCUACGGGAGGCAGCAGUGGGGAAGAUUGCACAAUGGGCGCAAGCCUGAUGCAGCGACGCCGCGUGAGGGAUGACGGCCUUCGGGUUGUAAACCUCUUUCAGCACCGACGAAGCGCAAGUGACGGUAGGUGCAGAAGAAGGACCGGCCAACUACGUGCCAGCCGCCGCCGUAA
This 478-nucleotide ribosomal RNA is filed under the name uncultured bacterium. RNAcentral's name for it is "partial 16S ribosomal RNA". It matches the Rfam family "Bacterial small subunit ribosomal RNA", at positions 28 to 523 of the family's 1533-position model. The record is from RNAcentral.